Molecule: ribosomal RNA, 497 nt
Filed under: uncultured bacterium
Lineage: Bacteria
Description: partial 16S ribosomal RNA
Rfam family: Bacterial small subunit ribosomal RNA
Source: RNAcentral
GAUGAACGCUGGCGGCGUGCCUAAUACAUGCAAGUCGAGCGAACGUACGAGAAGCUUGCUUCUCUGAUGUUAGCGGCGGACGGGUGAGUAACACGUCGAUAACCUACCUAUAAGACUGGGAUAACUUCGGGAAACCGGAGCUAAUACCGGAUGAUAUUUUGAACCGCAUGGUUCAAAAGUGAAAGACGGUCUUGCUGUCACUUAUAGAUGGAUCCGCGCUGCAUUAGCUAGUUGGUAAGGUAACGGCUUACCAAGGCAACGAUGCCUAGCCGACCUGAGAGGGUACUAGGCCACCCUGGAACUGAGCAUCGGUCCAGACUCCUACGGGAGGCAGCAGCAGGGAAUCUUGCGCAAUGCGCGAAGGCCUGACGGAGCACCGCGGCGUGCGUGAUGAAGGUCUUCGGAUGGUAACACACUGUUAGUAGGGAAGACCAUAUGUGUAAGUAACUGUGCACAUCUUGACGGUACCUAAUCAGAAAGCCACGGCUAACUACGUG